ACGGCGAGUGAAGCGGCAACAGCUCAAAUUUGAAAUCUGGCCUCGGCCCGAGUUGUAAUUUGCAGAGGAUGCUUCCGGCGACGUGCCUUCCGAGUCCCCUGGAACGGGGCGCCUGAGAGGGUGAGAGCCCCGUACGGUUGGACGCCGAGCCUGUGUGAAGCUCCUUCGACGAGUCGAGUAGUUUGGGAAUGCUGCUCUAAAUGGGAGGUAAAUUCCUUCUAAAGCUAAAUACCGGCCAGAGACCGAUAGCGCACAAGUAGAGUGAUCGAAAGAUGAAAAGCACUUUGGAAAGAGGGUUAAACAGUACGUGAAAUUGCUGAAAGGGAAGCGCUCGCGACCAGACUCGCGCCGGGCGGAUCAUCCAGCGUUCUCGCUGGUGCACUUCGCCCGGCCCGGGCCAGCAUCGGUUCUAGCGGGGGGACAAAAGCCCGGGAAACGUAGCUCCCUCCGGGGAGUGUUAUAGUCCCUCGCCUAAUAUCCCCGCCGGGACCGAGGACCGCGCCUCGUGCAAGGAUGCUGGCGUAAUGGUCGCCAGCGACCCGUCUUGAAACACGGACCAAGGAGUCGAACAUUCGUGCGAGUGUUUGGGUGGAAACCCCUCACGCGUAAUGAAAGUGAACGGAGGUGGGAGCCUCGGCGCACCAUCGACCGAUCCUGAAGCUUGUCGGAUGGAUUUGAGUGGGAGCAUGACUGUUCGGACCCGAAAGAUGGUGAACUAUGCCUGCGUAGGGUGAAGCCAGAGGAAACUCUGGUGGAGGCUCGCAGCGGUUCUGACGUGCAAAUCGAUCGUCAAACGUGGGCAUGGGGGCGAAAGACUAAUCGAACCAUCUAGUAGCUGGUUU
This 842-nucleotide ribosomal RNA is filed under the name Lulworthiales sp. MV-2012. Its description in RNAcentral is "partial 28S ribosomal RNA". It matches the Rfam family "Eukaryotic large subunit ribosomal RNA", at positions 86 to 957 of the family's 3401-position model. Lineage: Eukaryota; Fungi; Ascomycota; Sordariomycetes; Lulworthiales. The record is from RNAcentral.